Molecule: ribosomal RNA, 858 nt
Filed under: uncultured Actinomycetes bacterium
Lineage: Bacteria; Bacillati; Actinomycetota; Actinomycetes
Description: bacterial SSU rRNA
Rfam family: Bacterial small subunit ribosomal RNA
Source: RNAcentral
UAACACGUGAGCAAUCUGCCCUUGACUCUGGGAUAACUGCGGGAAACUGUAGCUAAUACCGGAUACGACACCUUGGGGCAUCCCAGGGUGUGGAAAGAAUUUCGGUCAAGGAUGAGCUCGCGGCCUAUCAGCUAGUUGGUGAGGUAAUGGCUCACCAAGGCGACGACGGGUAGCCGGCCUGAGAGGGUGACCGGCCACACUGGAACUGAGACACGGUCCAGACUCCUACGGGAGGCAGCAGUGGGGAAUAUUGCACAAUGGGCGAAAGCCUGAUGCAGCAACGCCGCGUGAGGGAUGAAGGCCUUCGGGUUGUAAACCUCUUUUAGCAGGGAAGAAGCGAAAGUGACGGUACCUGCAGAAAAAGCACCGGCUAACUACGUGCCAGCAGCCGCGGUAAUACGUAGGGUGCAAGCGUUGUCCGGAAUUAUUGGGCGUAAAGAGCUCGUAGGCGGUUUGUCGCGUCUGCUGUGAAAAUCCAAGGCUCAACCUUGGACCUGCAGUGGGUACGGGCAAGCUAGAGUGCGGUAGGGGAGAUGGGAAUUCCUGGUGUAGCGGUGGAAUGCGCAGAUAUCAGGAGGAACACCAAUGGCGAAGGCACAUCUCUGGGCCGUAACUGACGCUGAGGAGCGAAAGCGUGGGGAGCGAACAGGAUUAGAUACCCUGGUAGUCCACGCCGUAAACGGUGGGUGCUAGUUGUGGGCCACAUUCCACGUGGUCUGUGACGAAGUUAACACAUUAAGCACCCCGCCUGGGGAGUACGGUCGCAAGACUAAAACUCAAAGGAAUUGACGGGGGCCCGCACAAGCGGCGGAGCAUGCGGAUUAAUUCGAUGCAACGCGAAGAACCUUACCAAGACUU